GAAGGUGGCCUGUGAGGGUUGCUGGAGGUAUCAGAAGUGCGAAUGCUGACAUAAGUAACGAUAAAGCGGGUGAAAAGCCCGCUCGCCGGAAGACCAAGGGUUCCUGUCCAACGUUAAUCGGGGCAGGGUGAGUCGACCCCUAAGGCGAGGCCGAAAGGCGUAGUCGAUGGGAAACGGGUUAAUAUUCCCGUACUUGGUGUUACUGCGAAGGGGGGACGGAGAAGGCUAUGUUGGCCGGGCGACGGUUGUCCCGGUUUAAGCGUGUAGGUGUGUGUUCCAGGUAAAUCCGGUUCACUUUAACACUGAGGCGUGACGACGAGGCACUACGGUGCUGAAGCAACAAAUGCCCUGCUUCCAGGAAAAGCCUCUAAGCAUCAGGUAACAUCAAAUCGUACCCCAAACCGACACAGGUGGUCAGGUAGAGAAUACCAAGGCGCUUGAGAGAACUCGGGUGAAGGAACUAGGCAAAAUGGUGCCGUAACUUCGGGAGAAGGCACGCUGACACGUAGGUGAAGUGAUUUACUCAUGGAGCUGAAGUCAGUCGAAGAUACCAGCUGGCUGCAACUGUUUAUUAAAAACACAGCACUGUGCAAACACGAAAGUGGACGUAUACGGUGUGACGCCUGCCCGGUGCCGGAAGGUUAAUUGAUGGGGUCAGCGCAAGCGAAGCUCCUGAUCGAAGCCCCGGUAAACGGCGGCCGUAACUAUAACGGUCCUAAGGUAGCGAAAUUCCUUGUCGGGUAAGUUCCGACCUGCACGAAUGGCGUAAUGAUGGCCAGGCUGUCUCCACCCGAGACUCAGUGAAAUUGAACUCGCUGUGAAGAUGCAGUGUACCCGCGGCAAGACGGAAAGACCCCGUGAACCUUUACUAUAGCUUGACACUGAACAUUGAGCCUUGAUGUGUAGGAUAGGUGGGAGGCUUUGAAGUGUGGACGCCAGUCUGCAUGGAGCCGACCUUGAAAUACCACCCUUUAAUGUUUGAUGUUCUAACGUGGACCCGUUACCCGGGUUGCGGACAGUGUCUGGUGGGUAGUUUGACUGGGGCGGUCUCCUCCUAAAGAGUAACGGAGGAGCACGAAGGUUGGCUAAUCCUGGUCGGACAUCAGGAGGUUAGUGCAAUGGCAUAAGCCAGCUUGACUGCGAGCGUGACGGCGCGAGCAGGUGCGAAAGCAGGUCAUAGUGAUCCGGUGGUUCUGAAUGGAAGGGCCAUCGCUCAACGGAUAAAAGGUACUCCGGGGAUAACAGGCUGAUACCGCCCAAGAGUUCAUAUCGACGGCGGUGUUUGGCACCUCGAUGUCGGCUCAUCACAUCCUGGGGCUGAAGUAGGUCCCAAGGGUAUGGCUGUUCGCCAUUUAAAGUGGUACGCGAGCUGGGUUUAGAACGUCGUGAGACAGUUCGGUCCCUAUCUGCCGUGGGCGCUGGAGAACUGAGGGGGGCUGCUCCUAGUACGAGAGGACCGGAGUGGACGCAUCACUGGUGUUCGGGUUGUCAUGCCAAUGGCACUGCCCGGUAGCUAAAUGCGGAAGAGAUAAGUGCUGAAAGCAUCUAAGCACGAAACUUGCCCCGAGAUGAGUUCUCCCUGAGACUUUAGGUCUCCUGAAGGAACGUUGAAGACGACGACGUUGAUAGGCCGGGUGUGUAAGCGCAGCGAUGCGUUGAGCUAACCGGUACUAAUGAACCGUGAGGCUUAACCUUACAACGCCG
This 1704-nucleotide ribosomal RNA is filed under the name Salmonella enterica subsp. enterica serovar Bovismorbificans. RNAcentral's name for it is "partial 23S ribosomal RNA". It matches the Rfam family "Bacterial large subunit ribosomal RNA", at positions 1252 to 2925 of the family's 2925-position model. The record is from RNAcentral. Lineage: Bacteria; Pseudomonadati; Pseudomonadota; Gammaproteobacteria; Enterobacterales; Enterobacteriaceae.